This 225-nucleotide ribosomal RNA is filed under the name uncultured bacterium. RNAcentral's name for it is "partial 16S ribosomal RNA". It matches the Rfam family "Bacterial small subunit ribosomal RNA", at positions 524 to 747 of the family's 1533-position model. The record is from RNAcentral.
UACGUAGGGGGCAAGCGUUGUCCGGAUUUAUUGGGCGUAAAGAGCGUGUAGGCGGCUUGGUAGGUCCGCUGUGAAAACUCGAGGCUCAACCUCGAGAUGUCGGCGGAAACCACUUGGCUAGAGUCCGGAAGAGGAGAGUGGAAUUCCCGGUGUAGCGGUGAAAUGCGCAGAUAUCGGGAAGAACACCUAUGGCGAAAGCGGCUCACUGGACCACAACAUGACGCU